AUGAGUCGGGGGGCCAUGCCCCAGCCCGGAGCGUGGCCGGGCACAAGCUGCGCCGAGAAGUCGGCGCGGGAGGCGGGCGCCGUGGCGGCCAGCGAGCAGCCCCGGCCCGCGACGCGGUGCCCGGCGGAGCACGAGGAGGACAUGUACCGAGCUGCGGAUGAAAUCGAGAAGGAGAAGGAAUUACUCAUCCAUGAAAGGGGGCCAUCAGAACUCCGACUGAGUGUUGCUCCAGAAAUGGACAUCAUGGACUACUGCAAAAAAGAAUGGAGGGGGAAGACACAAAAAGCUACCUGCAUGAAAAAGGGCUACGAGGAAGUCGCUCAGAAAUUCACCUCCAUCCGGCGUGUCCGUGGUGAUAAUUACUGUGCGCUGAGGGCGACCCUGUUCCAGGCUAUGAGCCAGCCGGCCGAGCUGCCCCCCUGGCUGCAGGACCCCGAGCUCACACUGCUACCUGAGAAACUCCUCAGCAGGCACAGCUGGAUCCAGCAGUGGAAGCUUGGUCUGCAGUUUGCUGGGCGGCGCGAGGACCUGGCUGACAGGAUUAAGGAGUCCCUCACUCUGCUCAGGAAGAAGUGGGCAGGCUUGGUGGACAUGCGAACCGCUGAGGCGAGGCAGGCUGCUUGUGACGAGCUGUUCACCAGCCAGGAGGAGGAGUACAGCCUCUACGAGGCGGUCAAAUUUCUAAUGCUCAACAGAGCCAUCGAACUCCAUGAGGACAGAGAGCAGGGGCGGGACGUCCCGUUCUUCGCGGUGCUCCUGUUUGCGAGGGACACGUCCAGUGACCCCGGACAGCUGCUGCGGAACCACCUAAACCAAGUGGGACACACCGGUGGCCUUGAACAGGUGGAGAUGUUCCUUCUUGCCUAUGCCGUGCGGCAUACCAUCCAGGUGUACCGGCUCUCCAAGUACAACACGGAGGAGUUCAUCACCAUCUACCCCACCGACCCCCCUGAGGACUGGCCAGUGGUGACGCUGAUCGCCGAGGAUGACCGGCACUAUAACGUCCCUGUCAGGGUAUGUGAGGAGACAAGUCUGUGAGCGUCACACCGCCCCGGACAGCCUGGCAGGCGCGUGAAGGCACCAGCACUUCCUUGGCUUGGACUUGCUGCUCUUCAGGGCCUCUUAGACUCUGUGAGAACUCCCCCACAUCCUUGCAGAAUGAUCCCUGGGGUCUCCUGCAUCUCUCUCAGCCAGGUUGCACUGGGACGGCCUGAGGACUGGUUUUUAAUCUAAGACUUUCCCAGCGCUCCGCCCUCCUCUACGGCCAGAGAUCUCAAUAGGACUGCUGAGCUCGCCGUGGGCAGGCCACCUUCGUUUUCUCCACAGAGCACCUGCUUCCUGCCAGAGGACACUCACCGUGAAGAGAAGAAAUGCCCCACGUCAGUCCUGCCCUGUGUGCCGAGCACAACUCAAUACGUGAGAGAGACACUGGGGAUCAGGGUCCCCACUGGGAACAGACACUCCAGGACUCUUAAUAAUUGUCACGAACGUAUCCAUUUGCUUUGGGAAGAUGGCUAUCACUGAAGUCAGACUGGACUUCAGAGCAGCCGAGUGGCUUUCACCUCAUGCAUUGCUCUUGUUCCUCCGUGAACAGAAAUGGUGGUCUUCCCACCACGUGGUGCUGGCCGGAGCCCACGGGGUGCAUCUGGUUUGGCUUGCUUUGUGUCUCCAGCCUUGGUCCGACUCCGAGUUCCGACUGCUGCUCAGCUUGGCGGUGCCGCAGGAAACAAGUGCAGGAGCCCCUUGACCAACUGUACAACUGAUGUCUCUUUUUCGGAGUCUGCAAUUCACUGCGCAGAUGGGAUCUCCUUUCUUCUUCCUGGUCUUGAGUUGGUCGGGUGACGCCAGCAGGAUAGAAAGUGGAUGGAGAGCAGAAUGGAGACAGGAUGAUGAUCCAGGUCCAGAGAGCACGGUGUUAGUACUGUGGUACUGACAGGAAAGUCAGCCACUCCUUAAGCAGCCUUACCUUUGAGCUCACUUAAAGGGACAUUGAAACCUGGAAGGAUUUGCUGUAACACAUUCUUUCUGUUGAAUUGACUUCGCUCUUCAGAGCAUUUCCUGGGCUCCUGGGCUCCUGUGCACCUGCACUACACUCAGUAACCGUGCACACACUCCACUGCUUCCGCUCAUGCACAUGGAACAAGAAGUUAGUGUGCAGCCUUUCGCUUUGGAUCUAGGACUGUGAUCUGGAAAUGUGGACAGUUCCUCUUCUUUCACUUACACUGCGGAGUGCUUUAAGUGCACAGACCAGGGUUACACUUUAUACAUCAACGCCUUACUUUGUUGACAUGGUUAGAGUCCAGAGAUCAGGUUGAUAAGUGAAAUCAUGUAAAACUAGACGAUGAACCUAUCAGACUGGAAGAUGGUUGGAUCAAUAUAUAACUGCCAAAUUAAACAUUACUGUUAAACUACCAAGAACCUUGACCCAACCUAGCAAUCACAACCAGCAUUACUCUCGCCUUGCUGUUUUUCUCUUACGAUCAGACAUCUGUGGUUAGUUCAUAAAUGAGAAACGUUGGCUAACAAUCACCGGUGAGCCGGUAUAUAGCCAUGGACCCUUGGUGCACUAGUGAAAGUUCAGUCCACGGUUUGAGGGCUUCCAGGCCUGACUGAAGUGCUCUGCCUGCAUAGCUCCUCCCCAGCUGCCCCACUCCACAGGACUCCAGGUGACUCCCCCCCACCCCCUCUUUUCCUAAGAGCUACUUUGCUAGACGCCCUUAAGAAAGCCAGAAAUAAUUUUCAGAAGCAAAAACCAUUCGGGAUGCUUGGAUGUGAAACUCAAAACCUGGCUGCCCGGAGCCAGCUUCGACCCUCAGUGCCCCAUGGGUUUCUGUGCCUACUUGGAAGAAAAAAAAGUCUCGCUGUGACGGAAAUCUGGAAUGCGUGAAACAUCCGAAUUUCCCAAGUAGUUGCAUAAAGGCCUGGUACGGUAUCAGUUUUAUCUAAUAACCUGAUAAUAAUGUAUCAGAUUAUCUAGUCACCUGAACACUGUACAAACAAGUGAACAUAGAAACACAGACUGCUUUGAGGUCAGAGUCUCAGGUGGCCUUAAAUCCAGGCAGCAGAGACCCGUGCCUGGGCCUCGGUUCUGAACGAAGAGCUCAAUGAGUGGAAGGUCUUGAGUCUGCAAAUUCAUGUUUCUAAAAGUCCAUCUUGAGCCCACCUAGACACCCCCCACACACACACUUGUGGAGUCCAUUCCAAGUCAGCAACCCUGUGUGGACAGUGGAUGUGCCCCACAAGGGGUUUUCCAGGCUCUGAUCUUUCCUUGGGUAGCCAGCCGCAGCUGUCUCCCACAGAGCAGCUGGUGGGCCGAAACUGCUGUGCUCUCUCCUGCUGGCUUGGACAGAAUUCUAAUACUUAAAGCUGAACUGUUCGGAAAAUGUCCUGAGCCAGCCCUUUUCAGGGGCAAGAGGCCAGAGGCCUCGCUGACAGACACGUGCAGUGAAUGUGUGAAUAGCGACCGAAAGCUGACGCUCAAUACGUGCCUGAUGUAGUUUAUAACUUGGAAUAAUGAAAACGCAAACGCCAAAAACCCUGGUUCGACCGUGGCCUUUCCCCUAGGAGUCAGUAGCACAUGGGGCCAGGAGCCCAGGGCCGUGACCAGAGCCCGGGCUCUGUGUGUCCAUGAAAGGGGGUGGACGGGGCUAGCUGGACAGAUUUCUUAAGCUUUCACGAUGGGCUUGGCAAAAUCCCAUUUGAUGAAUUUUUUUCAUGAUAAAUUGGAAUUUAUUACUGGGAGUGGGAUAGUAAUAUAGUAUUUAUAACUUAUGUGAAUUAUAAUUUCGUAUA
Molecule: RNA transcript, 3792 nt
Organism: Echinops telfairi (small Madagascar hedgehog)
Lineage: Eukaryota; Metazoa; Chordata; Mammalia; Afrosoricida; Tenrecidae
Gene: OTULIN
Gene name: OTU deubiquitinase with linear linkage specificity
Exons: 8
Source: RefSeq, a predicted model, not a curated record